RNAcentral lists this ribosomal RNA (234 nucleotides) under uncultured bacterium. RNAcentral's name for it is "partial 16S ribosomal RNA". It matches the Rfam family "Bacterial small subunit ribosomal RNA", at positions 118 to 351 of the family's 1533-position model. The record is from RNAcentral.
UGAGUAACCUGCCCUUAACUCUGGGAUAAGCCUGGGAAACUGGGUCUAAUACCGGAUAUGACUCCUCAUCGCAUGGUGGGGGGUGGAAAGCUUUAUUGUGGUUUUGGAUGGACUCGCGGCCUAUCAGCUUGUUGGUGAGGUAAUGGCUCACCAAGGCGACGACGGGUAGCCGGCCUGAGAGGGUGACCGGCCACACUGGGACCGAGACACGGCCCAGACUCCUACGGGAGGCAG